GAUGAACGCUGGCGGCGUGCCUAAUACAUGCAAGUCGAGCGAACGGACGAGAAGCUUGCUUCUCUGAUGUUAGCGGCGGACGGGUGAGUAACACGUGGAUAACCUACCUAUAAGACUGGGAUAACUUCGGGAAACCGUAGCUAAUACCGGAUAAUAUUUUGAACCGCAUGGUUCAAAAGUGAAAGACGGUCUUGCUGUCACUUAUAGAUGGAUCCGCGCUGCAUUAGCUAGUUGGUAAGGUAACGGCUUACCAAGGCAACGAUGCAUAGCCGACCUGAGAGGGUGAUCGGCCACACUGGAACUGAGACACGGUCCAGACUCCUACGGGAGGCAGCAGUAGGGAAUCUUCCGCAAUGGGCGAAAGCCUGACGGAGCAACGCCGCGUGAGUGAUGAAGGUCUUCGGAUCGUAAAACUCUGUUAUUAGGGAAGAACAUAUGCGUAAGUAACUGUGCACAUCUUGACGGUACCUAAUCAGAAAGCCACGGCUAACUACGUG
Molecule: ribosomal RNA, 497 nt
Filed under: uncultured bacterium
Lineage: Bacteria
Description: partial 16S ribosomal RNA
Rfam family: Bacterial small subunit ribosomal RNA
Source: RNAcentral